AGGUAUGAGUUGUUGGCCUGA
Molecule: non-coding RNA, 21 nt
Filed under: Arabidopsis thaliana (thale cress)
Lineage: Eukaryota; Viridiplantae; Streptophyta; Magnoliopsida; Brassicales; Brassicaceae
Source: RNAcentral